CCCGAAGUGCCGGGGUGCCCGCAAGGGCUGAGAACACACCCGCAACACCUGAUCUAGACAGUGCUAGCGAAGGGAGCCAUAUGACUCAGGUC
This 92-nucleotide non-coding RNA is filed under the name Bifidobacterium subtile. RNAcentral's name for it is "TPP sequence". It matches the Rfam family "TPP riboswitch aptamer (THI element)". From Rfam's summary of the family: Vitamin B(1) in its active form thiamin pyrophosphate (TPP) is an essential coenzyme that is synthesised by coupling of pyrimidine and thiazole moieties in bacteria. The previously detected thiamin-regulatory element, thi box was extended, resulting in a new, highly conserved RNA secondary structure, the THI element, which is widely distributed in eubacteria and also occurs in some archaea. The record is from Rfam by way of RNAcentral. Lineage: Bacteria; Bacillati; Actinomycetota; Actinomycetes; Bifidobacteriales; Bifidobacteriaceae.